GCUCGCCAGUGGGCGCUUUGUACGGCGAGACAAAAAAAGAAACGGAUCGCCCAGCCCUAGCCUAGCGAGUCCUCAACUUUUCCCUCUCCCUCGUCCGCCGCCAUCACCGGCGACCUACCCCACAGCCGCUGCUGCCAACCUGCACGGAGGCGGCGGCCUGGGCGACAUGGCACUCUCGUCGUCUAGAUCGAACUGAGCGGGAGGGGGAGAACAAUUGCCGCCUUCUCAUGCUGUCUCGUCUCCACCGUACCUUGUCUGCGCCGCGUGGUGAUGACCGGCGGCACAGCCGGUGUUGGCGGCAGUGGUCGAUCCCCUGGUUGUCGUAGCUUCUGGAAGGCCGGCACUAACGAGGCCCCCUCCGUCCCCAUCCACGAGUUCCACGACAGGGGACUUCGACCGCGCCUGCGUGCAUCCCAGGUUCCUCCGCAUCAACCUGACCUCCCACAAGUUGGCGUUCAGAGCUAUAUCUGAACUUCUUGAUAAUGGAGUAGAUGAGGCAUGAGUGAAAAGGUGAUUAAGAAUUCUGAUGGACAGUGAUGGGGCGGUAUUUGUCGAGGUUGCUAGGUGGGUGGACUUUCCUUUUCUGCAAGGACUUCUCUAGUUCUAUGCUUUCACUUUGGAUGACCGUGUGAAGCACUGAAUUCUGACGUCGGCCUCGCCGCAGAAGUCCGCCCGCACCGCCGAUCGGCGGGUGUCGAAGAGGCCCAAAUCGCUCCCACUCUGAAGCUCAAGGAGGUUCCAAUCACCACCGGCGAAGAGGAUGAGGACAUCCUUGAUAUGUAGCCACGCAAGGUGGAUCCCUCGUCCCGUCGAAGCCGCGAGAAGAGGAGCCCCACCCGGACGACUUCCCCCCGUCUCCCGCGGAUGGUUCUUCUUCCAUUGAGACGCCCAGGCCCGACGGAUCUUGCUCGUCGCAGCCCAGGGCCUGGUCCGUCGGAGCGGUCAGAGAGGAGUGGUGGAUGUGCGUCCUCUUAGACGCCGCCUUUCAGAGAAGGCGGGGAUGAGCGGAUUGCAGCGAGGGAAGCGGCUCGGCUCGGACCGUCCAUGGCGCUAGCACGAUAGCUUGCCUCCUCUUCCGGCAUGGCUAUUGUUUUGGUCCACGCCGUUUCUGCCUCGACGGACACUGUCGUCGUAGGUGCCGAUGAGGAAGAGGUGAGUUCCAGAGGAAGCGUCAUCAUGCCCAGUGUUCUAUAAAGAAAGCCGGCGGCCAGAGACUUGUGAUCGAGAGUUCGUGACGGGGAAAUAGAGAAUAGGGUAGUGAAUUAGCGAUGCGAUCUCACGUCUCAGGAGUCACGAUCGUACCGAUUGGACGACAUGAUUGGAUGCGUCUGGUGUACUUUCCUAUGUUGCUACGUCUUUCCUUUGCUUGGGCUAAUUUCAUCCCAGGAGAAGUUAUGGGCCGAUGGGCCACCAGCAUACAGCAUAUCUGGGAGGGGGCCCCUGGAUUUGAGAGGCCUGGGGCGGCCACCCCCUGCCCCCCCAGGGCCGGGCCUGCGAGCAUCACAGUGCCUUGGGCGCCUCGGCUGAGACGAGCUUGCGGAGGAUGGAGGAGUCCCGGGAUCCGUUGCCCACAAACUCGAUGACGCGGGCUCGAACACGUCUCGGCCGUCGUCGGCGCCCCUUGCGAGCUCCCCGUCGAGCUCUGCUCCCGCCCGCCACUCGAGUGCGUCGCGGCCGGCUGCUCUCUCUAAUGCACGUUCAGUGCUUGUUGUAGUGCCAAAGAAAGACAAAGGAGGAAGAGGGAAAAGACCAGUCAACAUGCCCGCAUGGCGAAUUUUCUUUUGUCAACUCAGCUCCGACGGGUGGGCUUCAUGGGUCAGAAAUGACUUUUUUAUUGCUAGUUUAGUGCUACUCAUAUAUGUCAAAGUUUAGCUUUGCUUUCGGUGGUUUUUGUCAUUAAAAAACUGAUGGUUUUAUGUGAUUGUGGUGGUUUUAUGCUU
Long non-coding RNA from Triticum aestivum (bread wheat), 1940 nucleotides. RefSeq lists it as uncharacterized. The record is from RefSeq and is a predicted model, not a curated record. The transcript is spliced from 5 exons. Lineage: Eukaryota; Viridiplantae; Streptophyta; Magnoliopsida; Poales; Poaceae.